GAGAAUUUUUGGCCAAUCAACCUGGCCAAUGUUUCCUGUAAGAUCGUGUCCAAGGUCCUGGCCAAUCGCCUCUGGGCGGUCAUUAGUGACCUGACCUAUGAAUCUCAGUCUGCUUUCAUUCCCGGUCGAUAGAUCCUGGAUUCUGUAUCCCUGGUGGAGGAAGACAUUUGUCAUGUACAGGGGAGAGAGAGAGAGGAGAAUAUGGCUAUAAAGAUCGACUUCAGGCGGGCAUUUGACUCACUUGACUGGGAUUUCUUUUUCGACUGCCUCCGCGCCAAGGGCUUCAGCGACCAAUGGAUCGAGUGGGUGCACACUUAUUUGAGCU
Molecule: unclassified non-coding RNA, 325 nt
Filed under: Hevea brasiliensis (rubber tree)
Lineage: Eukaryota; Viridiplantae; Streptophyta; Magnoliopsida; Malpighiales; Euphorbiaceae
Source: RNAcentral